AACGUAGGUGGCGAGCGUUAUCCGGAUUCAUUGGGCGUAAAGAGCUUGUAGGCGGCUUGGUAAGUUGGACGUGAAAACCCCGGGCUUAACUUGGGGAGGCCGUUCAAUACUGCCGGGCUGGAGGGUGUCAGAGGGCAGUGGAAUUCCUGGUGUAGCAGUGAAAUGCGUAGAUAUCAGGAGGAACAUCCGUGGCGAAGGCGGCUGCCUGGGGCGCACCUGACGCUGAGAAGCGAAAGCUAGGGGAGCAAACGGG
Molecule: ribosomal RNA, 253 nt
Filed under: uncultured bacterium
Lineage: Bacteria
Description: partial 16S ribosomal RNA
Rfam family: Bacterial small subunit ribosomal RNA
Source: RNAcentral